This is a long non-coding RNA of Tripterygium wilfordii, 1429 nucleotides long. RefSeq lists it as uncharacterized. Lineage: Eukaryota; Viridiplantae; Streptophyta; Magnoliopsida; Celastrales; Celastraceae. The record is from RefSeq and is a predicted model, not a curated record. The transcript is spliced from 4 exons.
AGCCCUCUCAUUUCAUUCGCCGAACCACCCUCCACCCUCCCUUCCCCAAAGCAGCGCAUACGCCAGUUUCAUCUGCUUUUAUCUCAAGCAAUUGAUUCGCCCCAAUUUCACGAAGUGCUGUCUUGGAGCUUUCAUGGCUUCAAGCAGCAGAGUAUUGGAUUAUUUCUUCUCAGAGAUGCCACAUUUUUUCAAGAUAAUGAAUGAAGACAUACUCAGAUAUAAAUUUGUAAACCAAGAAAGUUCAUGAGAAGAUACGGAAUCAACCUGCUGAACAUGGUGAUCCUUAGGGUUCCAAGUGGUGCAGUUUGGCAUAUGGCAUUAUUGAAGGAAGAUGACGAUGUUUGGUUAUACCAUGGAUGGAGAGAAUUUGUGGAGUAUUAUUCUUUAGAAUUUGGUCACGUAGUGGUGUUUCAACAUAAAGGAUCUGAUGAAUUCAAUGUACUUAUAUUUGACAAGAGUGCCACAGAUCCAGUAUCCAUUCUGCCAUGCUGUCUGCAGUGAGGAGCCACAAUCUGAUGGAGAGAUGAAGCAUCUGAAGAUGAUGAUUCUGUUCCAAUCUUAGAGGGCUUCACCACUAGCCGAGGAGCUGGAAAGAGGUCAAUCAUUAAAUCUCCUCAUCCUUAUUGUUCUGGCAAAGAAUUUGGAGGUGGAGGUAUGUCUACUGGUUGCAGAAGGGGGAAAGCUCUGGUUGUUUACAGACCACGUGCAUUCACAUGGAAGGAAAAGGCUGAAGCCUUCAAGAGAGCUAAGGAUUUCCAAUCUGACAAUCCUUCUUGCAUGAUUGCCAUACAACCCCGCUAUGUUCUUGGCAAAUAUGAAUUGGUAAGGUUUCAAUUGAAAUAAUUUGGAAAACUUGCACAAUAAAUGGAACGACUUUUAAUGAUUGAUGGAUUUAUACUCUUUCAUAAUGUUAGAGUAAUUUUUUGUCGAAGAAUUCUGUAAGUGCAUUCUUUUCCCCUUUCUUUUCAAAAAAAAUGCAGGCUAUACUGGUCAACUUUGCCAAAAAGCAUCUUCAGAUAAAGCACAGUGAAGUCGUCCUCCAUGGUUCUAAUGGGAGAACUUGGUCUGCAAUCUACAAUUACUAUCCCAACCUAGCAAGGCCCAAGGCAGCAAUCAGUGUAGGCUGGAGGGAAUUUGUCUGUGACAAUGGUAUAAAACUUGGAGAUGUUUGUGUAUUUGAGUUGAUUGGGACCCGUGGAAUCACACUGAAUGUUUUUAUUUUCUGAGGUGUGAUUCUAUUGUCAGACUAUUUCUUAUUCUAGCUAGUAUGUAACUAUGGAUAGGUGGAAUGUGCAUCAAUGAGAUGUACAAAAUGCCUUCGUAAAUGGAGAUUUGGAGGAAGAUAUAUACAUACAUGGAAGUGUUCCUCUAGGCUACUAAGGCGAUAACAAGAAGUAUUUAUGUAAAUUGAAAAAUUCUAUCUAUGGUU